Molecule: ribosomal RNA, 590 nt
Filed under: uncultured bacterium
Lineage: Bacteria
Description: bacterial SSU rRNA
Rfam family: Bacterial small subunit ribosomal RNA
Source: RNAcentral
ACUCCUACGGGAGGCAGCAGUGAGGAAUUUUGCGCAAUGGGGGAAACCCUGACGCAGCAACGCCGCGUGAGUGAAGAAGGCUUUCGGGUCGUAAAGCUCUGUCAAGUGGGAAAAAAAUCUGAUGAUUAAUAGUUGUCAGAUCUGAUGGUACCACUGGAGGAAGCACCGGCUAACUCCGUGCCAGCAGCCGCGGUAAUACGGAGGGUGCAAGCGUUGUUCGGAAUUACUGGGCGUAAAGGGCGUGCAGGCGGGUUGGUAAGUCAGAUGUGAAAGCCCUGGGCUCAACCCAGGAAGUGCAUUUGAAACUGCCAUCCUAGAGUAUGGGAGAGGAGAGUGGAAUUCCCAAUGUAGAGGUGAAAUUCGUAGAUAUUGGGAGGAACACCCGUGGCGAAGGCGACUCUCUGGACCAAUACUGACGCUGAGACGCGAAAGCGUGGGGAGCAAACAGGAUUAGAUACCCUGGUAGUCCACGCUGUAAACGAUGAGAACUAGGUGUAGCGGUUAUUGACCCCUGCUGUGCCGAAGUUAACGCAUUAAGUUCUCCGCCUGGGGAGUACGGCCGCAAGGCUAAAACUCAAAUGAAUUGACGG